AGGCCUGGAGAGAGAGGCAGGGUCUGAUCCAAGCUUCUGUGGCAGCUGUUGAUCAGCGGUUGCCUCUCUCUUUCUCUCCG
Non-coding RNA from Myotis davidii, 80 nucleotides. The record is from Rfam. Lineage: Eukaryota; Metazoa; Chordata; Mammalia; Chiroptera; Vespertilionidae.